RNAcentral lists this long non-coding RNA (202 nucleotides) under Capsella rubella. RNAcentral describes it as "long non-coding RNA (CRUB_LNC001762)". The record is from RNAcentral. Lineage: Eukaryota; Viridiplantae; Streptophyta; Magnoliopsida; Brassicales; Brassicaceae.
AAAUAUGGAACCAAUCAUCAAAUCUUUAUUCUAAAAUGUGCUAAACGCUUGCCCUAGCCACGUGUUUAUGUACUAACUUUCCUCUUCUAUCUCUCCAACUAUUUCUUUUUUUUUUUUCUCUCCUUAUUCUUUUCAACAAUAUUGAGAGCAUUUUCUUAUAUCAAAACACCAUUUGAGAACACCUACAAAUUUUUAACUCUAC